UAGAUCCCCGUGCUUCAGUAAGUGCUCAGUGGCAUAUUAUGCGGAUUCGAACAAAUUUCGUUUAUACUAUUGGCCUAUUAGUUAGUUUAGAAACUGCACGAAACGUUUAAGACGAAACAUUGUGGGCCAGGGAGCGAAGCGGGUAGAGCCAUGAUCUAAAAAUAUGCAACUAUUGGGAAUAAACGCAUCCUCGCUAAAGAUCCUUCCUUGUGGCUGAUUCCUAAAAAAAAAGGAGUUGUCCCAACUAAAGAUGGAUUGUGAAGAUUAGACAUCACCAAUCACAGCUCGGUUUAUGUGAGGCCUAGUUGUGGCCAUGGUUGUGGCAUCACGGAACACUAGUACCGUUCGCUACGGCAAAAAAACUGAAGUUCUAAACGAGAAAAAUCUGCUGGUUGACAGCUCGAUUUAUUCGCUCGGGAAAAUCUUUCUAGCGGCUUCAUGUUGAGUGUUCACAGUAAUACGAAGACACAGUACUUUCUGCGCUGUAAUUUUUGGGUCCGACAUUUCCUUACUCUGAGAAUCUUCCACGCGUAGACAACUCACUGGGGUUCCCCUUUAAUACAAGCAAAUUUGAAACGCAAUCCAGACUUUGUUCCAGAUACAAAUGUGUCAAAUAAACUUGGCACUGGAUAAUGCUCGGAAAACAUUUCCAUACAGGCGCCUGGAUGAAGUUCUACUAGACGAUCAUUGUCCAUUGUAGAGAAGAUAAAUUGUCUCGAAUACCUAAAACUAGAGUACUGGCUUCUAUGUUCCGGUUUACCGUUGACUAUUUGGUUCUGGUCUACAGCUGCUGUUGUAACAGUGAAUGGCCAAUUAGUAAGUGUGAUGGAGUAACAACUGAAUAAUCAUUAGGAUCAAAGGAUAAUGGACUUAGCGGUUCCGAAUUUAGUAUAGCUUCUACUUCCAUGAGUAAAGUAUAAUGCUUCUCAAGCGUAUAAAAGAGGAUUUUAACUAUUACCGUAAGGUGUCUUUUUCUGCUCUUCACUUGCAGCCUCCGAUAAGCCUAAAAAAUGCAGAGCUCUGGGUGAAACAAAGUGCAGUGUGAUUUGUUGUACAGCUAGCUAAUUCUGUAUCUCGGUUUCCUCUUUUUCGAGAAAUCCGUAAAUCUCGUUGAGUUUCCCAACGGGUCCUACAAAAUUAGGCUCAUAAUCAAGACAAAGUAGUUGAUAAUUGUCGAUCGCUUGGGAAGGUAGAUCGGGUCCUCAGGAUGUCUAAAUGAGAAGUUAAACUGUUUUCGUUGAGUGAUAAACUUAAAAUGUGAGUACAUUCGAGGGUGGGAAGUCACGAAGUGAGAUACUGAGGGAGUUUGGCUUGCCCUAGACCACCCUUUUAUAAGAUCAUAAAAGAUAUACAUAUGUAUAUUCCGUAAAGUCGCAGUGCUCUGAAGGAUACGGAAAUAUUAAGAGGAACCGAGCUGUUGAAUUUUCUAACGUGGAAAAGUCCCUCGUGUAAUGGUUAAACAAACUCUCGAUAAAAAUAUUCCCAUUAAUGGACCAUUGUUAAAAUAAAAAGCUAAAAACUUUGCCACAAAGCUCAGAUUACAGAACUUUUCAGCCUGGAACGGCUGGUUAGAGGAUUUUAAAAAGCUAUAUGACAGCUUUUAAGCAAG
Cephus cinctus (wheat stem sawfly) is the source of this 1609-nucleotide long non-coding RNA. RefSeq lists it as uncharacterized. Lineage: Eukaryota; Metazoa; Arthropoda; Insecta; Hymenoptera; Cephidae. The record is from RefSeq and is a predicted model, not a curated record. The transcript is spliced from 5 exons.